AGCAGCCGCGGUAAUUCCAGCUCCAAUAGCGUAUAUUAAAGUUGCUGCAGUUAAAAAGCUCGUAGUUGAAUUUCGGGACCAAUAUGUCGGUCGUGCUUCGGUACGUACUGUCAUAAUUGGUUUCUCCCUUCUGAAGAACCUUGAUGUCAUUAAUUUGGUGUCUUGGGGAAUCAGGACUGUUACUUUGAAAAAAUUAGAGUGUUUAAAGCAGGCUCGCGCUUGAAUACAUUAGCAUGGAAUAAUGAAAUAGGACGUUUGAUUCUAUUUUGUUGGUUUCUAGGAUCGACGUAAUGAUUAAUAGGGAUAGUUGGGGGCAUUAGUAUUCAAUUGUCAGAGGUGAAAUUCUUGGAUUUAUUGAAGACUAACUACUGCGAAAAGCAUUUGCCAAGGAUGUUUUCAUUAAUCAAGAACGAAAGUUAGGGGAUCGAAGACGAUCAGAUACCGUCGUAGUCUUAACCAUAAACUAUGCCGACUAGG
Molecule: small RNA, 477 nt
Filed under: uncultured Glomus
Lineage: Eukaryota; Fungi; Glomeromycota; Glomeromycetes; Glomerales; Glomeraceae
Description: SSU rRNA
Rfam family: Eukaryotic small subunit ribosomal RNA
Source: RNAcentral